UACAGAGGGUGCAAGCGUUAUUCGGAAUCACUGGGCGUAAAGUGCGCGUAGGUGGCUUAGUAAGUUUGGUGUGAAAUACCUCGACUCAAUCGGGGAAGUGCGCCGAAUACUACUUCGCUGGAGCAUGGGAGAAGAGGACGGAAUUCCUGGUGUAGAGGUGAAAUUCGUAGAUAUCAGGAGGAACAACAGUAGCGAAGGCGGUUCUCUAGACCAUUGCUGACACUGAGGCGCGAAAGCGUGUGGAGCAAACAGG
RNAcentral lists this ribosomal RNA (253 nucleotides) under uncultured bacterium. Its description in RNAcentral is "partial 16S ribosomal RNA". It matches the Rfam family "Bacterial small subunit ribosomal RNA", at positions 524 to 776 of the family's 1533-position model. The record is from RNAcentral.